UAAAAGGAAAUGUUCCAUGCUCUUACUACAAUGUAUGGGCAGGAAGAAAUUCCUGCACAAGGGUUUGUACCAGGCCUGCUGGGAACAUCAGAUGGAGCCCUGCAGUUCAUGGCCUACAAGAAACUGAAAAUGGACUUUACAAGCAUUUCCAUCGACCCAGUGACACAAAACCGGAAAGAAGAGUUCCAUGGAGUCUACUA
Bufo bufo (common toad) is the source of this 200-nucleotide long non-coding RNA. RefSeq lists it as uncharacterized. The record is from RefSeq and is a predicted model, not a curated record. The transcript is spliced from 3 exons. Lineage: Eukaryota; Metazoa; Chordata; Amphibia; Anura; Bufonidae.